This 514-nucleotide ribosomal RNA is filed under the name uncultured bacterium. RNAcentral describes it as "partial 16S ribosomal RNA". It matches the Rfam family "Bacterial small subunit ribosomal RNA", at positions 28 to 523 of the family's 1533-position model. The record is from RNAcentral.
GACGAACGCUGGCGGCGUGCCUAACACAUGCAAGUCGAACGGGGAGUUAGCAAUAACUCCUAGUGGCGAACGGGUGAGUAACGCGUAGACAACCUGCCUCUAAACUGGGGACAACACCGCGAAAGUGGUGCUAAUACCGAAUGUGGUAACUUGAUCGCAUGAUCGAGUUAAGAAAGAUGGCCUCUAUUUAUAAGCUAUCGAUUAGAGAUGGGUCUGCGUCUGAUUAGCUAGUUGGUGAGGUAAUGGCUCACCAAGGCGACGAUCAGUAGCCGGUCUGAGAGGAUGAACGGCCACACUGGGACUGAGACACGGCCCAGACUCCUACGGGAAGCAGCAGUGGGGAAUCUUCCGCAAUGGACGAAAGUCUGACGGAGCAACGCCGCGUGAGUGAAGAAGGUCUUCGGAUUGUAAAGCUCUGUCGUUUGGGACGAACGUGGGUAGUGUGAAUAAUGCUAUCUAAUGACGGUACCAAAGGAGGAAGCCACGGCUAACUACGUGCCAGCCGCCGCUGUAA